This is a small nuclear RNA of Cricetulus griseus (Chinese hamster), 100 nucleotides long. The record is from Ensembl. Lineage: Eukaryota; Metazoa; Chordata; Mammalia; Rodentia; Cricetidae.
GCACUUCAGCAGUACAUAUACUAAAAUUGGAAUGACACAGAGAUUAGCAUGGCCCCUGCACAGCGAUCGCACACAAAUUAAUGAAGCAUUCCACAUUUUU